RNAcentral lists this ribosomal RNA (497 nucleotides) under uncultured bacterium. RNAcentral describes it as "partial 16S ribosomal RNA". It matches the Rfam family "Bacterial small subunit ribosomal RNA", at positions 28 to 507 of the family's 1533-position model. The record is from RNAcentral.
GAUGAACGCUGGCGGCGUGCCUAAUACAUGCAAGUCGAGCGAACGGACGAGAAGCUUGCUUCUCUGAUGUUAGCGGCGGACGGGUGAGUAACACGUGGAUAACCUACCUAUAAGACUGGGAUAACUUCGGGAAACCGUAGCUAAUACCGGAUAAUAUUUUGAACCGCAUGGUUCAAAAGUGAAAGACGGUCUUGCUGUCACUUAUAGAUGGAUCCGCGCUGCAUUAGCUAGUUGGUAAGGUAACGGCUUACCAAGGCAACGAUGCAUAGCCGACCUGAGAGGGUGAUCGGCCACACUGGAACUGAGACACGGUCCAGACUCCUACGGGAGGCAGCAGUAGGGAAUCUUCCGCAAUGGGCGAAAGCCUGACGGAGCAACGCCGCGUGAGUGAUGAGGGUCUUCGGAUCGUAAAACUCUGUUAUUAGGGAAGAACAUAUGUGUAAGUAACUGUGCACAUCUUGACGGUACCUAAUCAGAAAGCCACGUCUAACUACGUG